Molecule: ribosomal RNA, 612 nt
Filed under: Schoenoplectus tabernaemontani
Lineage: Eukaryota; Viridiplantae; Streptophyta; Magnoliopsida; Poales; Cyperaceae
Description: eukaryotic LSU rRNA
Rfam family: 5.8S ribosomal RNA (bases 190-344)
Source: RNAcentral
GAUCAUUGUCGUCGCCUUCAGAGAACACGACCGGCGAACGCGUAAUGUAAAGCCGCCGGGGAGGAGCCAUCCUCCUCGGCCCCGCCGGCCCCGGCCCCGGCCGGGCGCCGGAACACGGCGCUGGAUGUCGCCAAGGAACACAGAUUUGCCGAGGCGGACGGCCGUCCGCCGAGGCCAAGGAAACAAUAUGACUCUCGGCAACGGAUAUCUCGGCUCUCGCAUCGAUGAAGAACGUAGCGAAAUGCGAUACGUGGUGUGAAUUGCAGAAUCCCGUGAACCAUCGAGUCUUUGAACGCAAGUUGCGCCCGAGGGACCCUCCCGAGGGCACGCCUGCCUGGGCGUAAGAAGCCCAUCAACGCUCGACCACCUUCCCGUGAUCGACGCGGACAAUGGCUCUCCGAGCCGCGAGCGGCGCGGCGCGGCGCGGCGCGGCGGGCCUAAGUGCACGGCCGCCGGAUGGGGAUGGGAGCGGCGAGUGGUGGGCUGCUGCGCACGCCGACCCCCGUCCCCACGCCGGCGCUCUGGACCCCCAACGAGGAGCAUGUCUCAUGUCUCCGGAUCGAUACCCCAGGUCAGGCGGGGCUACCCGCUGAGUUUAAGCAUAUAAAUAAG